Molecule: long non-coding RNA, 657 nt
Organism: Oreochromis aureus
Lineage: Eukaryota; Metazoa; Chordata; Actinopteri; Cichliformes; Cichlidae
Exons: 3
Source: RefSeq, a predicted model, not a curated record
GCACGUACAAACUCCAAAACACGUAAAAACUCCAAAACACGUACAAAACACAACAGAAGUGCUCCAGGAUGCUCGGCGCAGUGUUGAACUUUUGUUACCUAGAGCCUACACAGCCAGCAAGUACCAACGACCGGAUUUGGUGUGUGGCAGUAGCAGGUUGCUAUGGUAGCAGAUACAGGGAGAACAAGUGUAGACGAUGCCACAUGAAGGAUGAUGAAAUUCCUCAUAUCACCUGAGCUGGCUGUGGAGUACAACAUGCUUGGCCGACAUGGGAAAAAAAGUUCAGAGAUUUGCGUCUUUUUAAUGUUGUGUAUGAGACACUGAAGAAGAAUUAUUUAACAUCAAAAGUCAACUUGCAAGAAGCAGAGAAGGCUCUGUCCAAGUGGUUCACUGGAGCUAAAGACAGAGGAGGACUGAGGGCUGCAAGGGUACAAAAUAGACUUACGGCUCUGUAAAAAAAACAAAAAACGAAACCCUGCUGAUUCAAGAUAAACUUUUGAGUUUUCCAUCUGACUUUUUCCCCAUGUUGCUACAGUUCCAAAUAUCUAAGGAAUUUUGCUGUAGUUUGACAUUUCUAGUUUUUUAAAAGUUUACGCACUUUGGUAUACAGUUACGUAAAAUCACAGUUGUUGGACAAAAUAAAUGUGAAAAAUGUUG